UUUCCGGUUGAUCCCGCCGGAGGCCACUGCUAUGGGGAUCCGACUAAGCCAUGCGAGUAGUGGGCGCCUCCGCAAGGGGGUGGCCCUGCGCACGGCUCAGUAACACGUCGUCAACCUACCCUAGGGACGGGGAUAACCUCGGGAAACUGAGGAUAAUCCCCGAUAGGCAAAGGGUGCUGGAAUGCCCCUUUGCCCAAAACCGGCGGGUAAAACCGCGCGGGCCCUAGGAUGGGACGGCGGCCUAUCAGGUAGUUGGUGGUGUAACGGACCACCAAGCCUACGACGGGUACGGGCUGUGAGAGCAGGAGCCCGGAGAUGGGCACUGAGACAAGGGCCCAGGCCCUACGGGGCGCAGCAGGCGCGAAACUUUCGCAAUGGGCGAAAGCCUGACGAAGGGAUCCCCAGUGCCGCUGGCCUUCGGGUCGGCGGCUUUUCGGGAGUGUAAAAAGCUCCCGGAAUAAGGGCUGGGUAAGUCGGGUGCCAGCCGCCGCGGUAAUACCCGCAGCCCGAGUGGUGGCCGCGUUUAUUGGGCCUAAAGCGCUCGUAGCCGGGUCAGCAAGUCUCCCGUGAAAUCGACCAGUCGACUGGUCGGCGCGCGGGAGAUACUGCUGACCUAGGGGCCGGGGGACGCUAGGGGUACUCCGGGGGUAGGGGUGAAAUCCUGUAAUCCCCGGGGGACCACCGGUGGCGAAGGCGCCUAGCGACAACGGACCCGACGGUGAGGGGCGAAGGCUGGGGGAGCAAAGGGGAUUAGAUACCCCCGUAGUCCCAGCAGUAAAGGAUGCGGGCCAGGUGCUGGGUGUUCCUUCGAGGACACUCGGUGCCGGGGGGAAGCCGCUAAGCCCGCCGCCUGGGAAGUACGGCCGCAAGGCUGAAACUUAAACGAAUUGGCGGGGGAGCACCACAACGGGUGGGUCCUGCGGUUCAAUUGGAUUCAACGCCG
This 943-nucleotide ribosomal RNA is filed under the name uncultured archaeon. Its description in RNAcentral is "bacterial SSU rRNA". It matches the Rfam family "Archaeal small subunit ribosomal RNA", at positions 1 to 920 of the family's 1478-position model. The record is from RNAcentral.